RNAcentral lists this unclassified non-coding RNA (438 nucleotides) under uncultured Hygrocybe. RNAcentral's name for it is "sequence contains ITS2". The stretch from base 1 to 154 matches the Rfam family "5.8S ribosomal RNA". Lineage: Eukaryota; Fungi; Basidiomycota; Agaricomycetes; Agaricales; Hygrophoraceae. The record is from RNAcentral.
AACUUUUGGCAAUGGAUCUCUUGGCUCUCGCAUCGAUGAAGAACGCAGCGAAAUGCGAUACGUAAUGUGAAUUGCAGAAUUCCGUGAAUCAUCGAAUAUUUGAACGCACCUUGCGCCUCUUGGUAUUCCGAGGGGCAUGCCUGUUUGAGUGUCAUUGAAUCCUCAAAAGAACAGCUUAACUGUUUCUCGUUUGGAAUUGGAGUGUGCUGGCCUUUUGUUAGAAAGCCCAGCUCCUCUGAAAUACAUUAGCGAUGUGACAUCCGCAUGGCACCACGCUUCUCUGGCAUUGAUAGUAUCUUCAUGCCUGAGCGUGUCGUGCAGCUGUGGAAAGUUUCGCUUGCUCAUAGCCGAUGAUGGGUCAGCCCAUCCUUUGACCAAUUUAACCUCAAAUCAGGUAGGAUUACCCGCUGAACUUAAGCAUAUCAAUAAGCGGAGGCU